This 525-nucleotide ribosomal RNA is filed under the name uncultured Fibrobacteres/Acidobacteria group bacterium. Its description in RNAcentral is "bacterial SSU rRNA". It matches the Rfam family "Bacterial small subunit ribosomal RNA", at positions 231 to 759 of the family's 1533-position model. The record is from RNAcentral. Lineage: Bacteria; Pseudomonadati.
CCGCGUCCGAUUAGCUUGUUGGUGAGGUAAUGGCUCACCAAGGCAACGAUCGUUAGCUGGUCUGAGAGGAUGGCCAGCCACACUGGAACUGAGACACGGUCCAGACUCCUACGGGAGGCAGCAGUGGGGAAUCUUGCACAAUGGGCGAAAGCCUGAUGCAGCGACGCCGCGUGGGGGAUGAAGCAUUUCGGUGUGUAAACCCCUUUCGACCGGGAAGAAUGCCUCGCAAGAGGACUGACGGUACCGGUAUAAGAAGCCCCGGCUAACUACGUGCCAGCAGCCGCGGUAAGACGUAGGGGGCCAGCGUUGUUCGGAAUUACUGGGUGUAAGGGGUUCGUAGGCGGUGUGGCAAGUUGGGAGUGAAAUCUCUGGGCUUAACCCAGAGGCUGCUUCCAAAACUGCUGUGCUUGAGUGUGGGAGAGGUGCGUGGAAUUGCAGGUGUAGCGGUGAAAUGCGUAGAUAUCUGCAGGAACACCCGUGGCGAAAGCGGCGCACUGGGCCACAACUGACGCUGAGGAACGAAAG